UGAUCCAAGCAUGGCAAUUACCCCGACUAAGUCGGGGAGGAAAGUCCGAACUCCGAAGAGCAGGGUGCCGGGUAACUCCCGGGGUCCGUGUUGCGAAAGCAGCCGGAAACGGCUAGUACCACAGAGAAGAGACUACCAGUCAACUGACUGGCAAAGGUGAAAAGGCGGGUUAAGAGCCCACCGCUCUGCUAGUAAUGGCAGAGGUCCCUUUAAAGGGAAUCCCGACUUGUCGGGAUCAAGGUAAACCCCACUCGGAGCAAGGUCAAGCAGAAGGUUCCUUCUUUAUUGAAGUACGGGCUGCUCGUCCGUUUACCUUCGGGUAGACCGCUUGACCCCGAUAGUAAUAUCGGGGCUAGAUAAAUAAUUGCCGUCCCGAUUUUAUCGGGAUUACAGAAUUCGGCUUAUAUGCUUGGUCGUUUA
Molecule: RNase P RNA, 420 nt
Filed under: Ignavibacteriales bacterium
Lineage: Bacteria; Pseudomonadati; Ignavibacteriota; Ignavibacteria; Ignavibacteriales
Also listed under: 1 other name
Description: RNase P RNA component class A
Rfam family: Bacterial RNase P class A
About the family: Ribonuclease P (RNase P) is a ubiquitous endoribonuclease, found in archaea, bacteria and eukarya as well as chloroplasts and mitochondria. Its best characterised activity is the generation of mature 5'-ends of tRNAs by cleaving the 5'-leader elements of precursor-tRNAs.
Source: RNAcentral